RNAcentral lists this ribosomal RNA (492 nucleotides) under uncultured bacterium. RNAcentral describes it as "partial 16S ribosomal RNA". It matches the Rfam family "Bacterial small subunit ribosomal RNA", at positions 29 to 507 of the family's 1533-position model. The record is from RNAcentral.
AGUGAACGCUGGCGGUAGGCCUAACACAUGCAAGUCGAACGGCAGCACAGUAAGAGCUUGCUCUUACGGGUGGCGAGUGGCGGACGGGUGACGAAUACAUCGGAAUCUACUUUUUCGUGGGGGAUAACGUAGGGAAACUUACGCUAAUACCGCAUACGACCUACGGGUGAAAGCAGGGGAUCUUCGGACCUUGCGCGAUUGAAUGAGCCGAUGUCGGAUUAGCUAGUUGGCGGGGUAAAGGCCCACCAAGGCGACGAUCCGUAGCUGGUCUGAGAGGAUGAUCAGCCACACUGGAACUGAGACACGGUCCAGACUCCUACGGGAGGCAGCAGUGGGGAAUAUUGGACAAUGGGCGCAAGCCUGAUCCAGCCAUACCGCGUGGGUGAAGAAGGACUUCGGGUUGUAAAGCCCUUUUGUUGGGAAAGAAAAGCAGCAGGUUAAUACCCCGCUGUUCUGACGGUACCCAAAGAAUAAGCACCGGCUAACUUCGUG